CAGGCCUAACACAUGCAAGUCGAGCGGAUGAAGAGAGCUUGCUCUCUGAUUCAGCGGCGGACGGGUGAGUAAUGCCUAGGAAUCUGCCUGGUAGUGGGGGACAACGUCUCGAAAGGGACGCUAAUACCGCAUACGUCCUACGGGAGAAAGCAGGGGACUUCGGGCCUUGCGCUAUCAGAUGAGCCUAGGUCGGAUUAGCUAGUUGGUGAGGUAAUGGCUCACCAAGGCGACGAUCCGUAACUGGUCUGAGAGGAUGAUCAGUCACACUGGAACUGAGACACGGUCCAGACUCCUACGGGAGGCAGCAGUGGGGAAUUUUGGACAAUGGGCGCAAGCCUGAUCCAGCCAUGCCGCGUGCAGGAUGAAGGCCUUCGGGUUGUAAACUGCUUUUGUACGGAACGAAACGGUCUGCCCUAAUACGGUGGGCUAAUGACGGUACCGUAAGAAUAAGCACCGGCUAACUACGUGCCAGCAGCCGCGGUAAU
This 485-nucleotide ribosomal RNA is filed under the name uncultured bacterium. RNAcentral describes it as "bacterial SSU rRNA". It matches the Rfam family "Bacterial small subunit ribosomal RNA", at positions 43 to 524 of the family's 1533-position model. The record is from RNAcentral.